GGAGGUGGACGGAGGAUCGCCGGUGGGCAGCAACCGCUCACGGGAGGAAAGUCCGGGCUCCGCAGGGCAGGGAGGUUGCUAACGGCGACCCGGGGUGACCCGAGGGAAAGCGCCACAGAAACGACACCGCCGAUGGCCGGUGAUCCGGCCGGCCCGAGAGGACCGGCCGGGGAGGCACAGGUAAGGGUGAAAUCGUGGGGUAAGAGCCCACGCACGACAGCCGGGUGACCGGCGGUGGGGCAAGCCCCUCCUGGAGCAAGCUCGAAUAGGGACGUCGAUUCGGGUGGCCCGCCCGAGGCCUUCGGGCCCGACGUCCGGGUGAGAGUGCUCGAGCGGCGCAGCAAUGCGUCGCCUAGAGGAAUGAUCCUCACCGGCCCGAGGGAAACCGAGGGUCGGGACAGAACCCGGCUUACAGUCCACCUCCGGCA
Molecule: RNase P RNA, 428 nt
Filed under: Deltaproteobacteria bacterium
Lineage: Bacteria; Pseudomonadati; Myxococcota; Myxococcia
Description: RNase P RNA component class A
Rfam family: Bacterial RNase P class A
About the family: Ribonuclease P (RNase P) is a ubiquitous endoribonuclease, found in archaea, bacteria and eukarya as well as chloroplasts and mitochondria. Its best characterised activity is the generation of mature 5'-ends of tRNAs by cleaving the 5'-leader elements of precursor-tRNAs. Cellular RNase Ps are ribonucleoproteins.
Source: RNAcentral